Molecule: ribosomal RNA, 301 nt
Filed under: uncultured bacterium
Lineage: Bacteria
Description: partial 16S ribosomal RNA
Rfam family: Bacterial small subunit ribosomal RNA
Source: RNAcentral
CAGCCGCCGCGGUAAUACGUAGGGUGCGAGCGUUAAUCGGGAUUACUGGGCGUAAAGCGUGCGCAGGCGGUUUUGUAAGACAGGCGUGAAAUCCCCGGGCUCAACCUGGGAAUGGCGCCUGUGACUGCAAAGCUAGAGUGCGGCAGAGGGGGAUGGAAUUCCGCGUGUAGCAGUGAAAUGCGUAGAUAUGCGGAGGAACACCGAUGGCGAAGGCAAUCCCCUGGGCCUGCACUGACGCUCAUGCACGAAAGCGUGGGGAGCAAACAGGAUUAGAUACCCCUGUAGUCCCUGUCUCUUAUAC